RNAcentral lists this non-coding RNA (34 nucleotides) under Trichobilharzia regenti. The record is from RNAcentral. Lineage: Eukaryota; Metazoa; Platyhelminthes; Trematoda; Strigeidida; Schistosomatidae.
GAGUCCCAAAUAGGACGAAACGCGCAUCCUGGAU